This 657-nucleotide ribosomal RNA is filed under the name Triticum aestivum (bread wheat). Its description in RNAcentral is "partial small subunit ribosomal RNA". The record is from RNAcentral. Lineage: Eukaryota; Viridiplantae; Streptophyta; Magnoliopsida; Poales; Poaceae.
AUGGACAACCUAAUCCUCAGCUGCACAAAGUGCCUCCCUGCAUGCUAUCGCCUCCAAAAUCAUUGGGUCAUCCACUCCUUGCACCACCAGGGCUGCGCUGCCCAGGUAGUUUCCUUCGGCAUCCCUGCAUACCACUGCUGCCGAACCACCUCGCCCUGGUCUGACGGCCCCGUCCACAUGAAGCUUAGCAUGGUUUGCCGGAGGAGCUCUCGGGCGAGUUCUACCCGUGAGAUGAGAAAAACAAAAACCGGUGCGAACGUGUAUGAUGCAAACAGAAAGUUCGGCGGGGAUCAGGCCAUGGCCACGGCGCUUCGCCACGCGGCGAGGAGGUUCGGAACCAGAGCGGCGGCGGAGGCGGAGGCGGAGGCUAUCAUUGAGCGUAGUCCGCUGUACACUAGCACACGGAUCGUCGAUUCCACCACAGGCCGUGACCUCACGCCCAAUCAGAGGAAAGAUGCCAUCUUCCGCUUGGCUCAAAUCCAUGCCCAGAAAGAGGACCUCUACAACACAAUCGCUGCCUGGCAAGCUGACUACACUGCUAAGGGCAAUGUAGUGACCCGGAAAAACAACCUUUUGCUCAAACAACUCUCUCAGCAUGUCAAACCUAGACCCGAUGACCCCCGCUGGUAUCUCUCUCUCCCCCUUCACCUCACCUAA